GUGCUUGCUUCAGCAGCAUGUAAACUAAAAUUGGAACGAUACAGAGAAGAUUAGCAUGGCCCCUGACAAAGGAUGACAUGCAAAUUCGUGAAGCGUUCUAUAUUUUU
This is a small nuclear RNA of Nycticebus coucang (slow loris), 107 nucleotides long. The record is from RefSeq and is a predicted model, not a curated record. Lineage: Eukaryota; Metazoa; Chordata; Mammalia; Primates; Lorisidae.